GACGAACGCUGGCGGCGUGCUUAACACAUGCAAGUCGAACGGAAAGGCCUGCUUUCCCUUGUGGAUUGCGGGUACUCGAGUGGCGAACGGGUGAGUAACACGUGAGUGAUCUGCCCCCAACUUGGGUAUAAGCCUGGGAAACUGGGUCUAAUUCCCGAUAGGACUGCAGGGUGGUGCCUGUGGUGGAAAACGAUUUUCUAGUGGUUGGGGAUGAGCUCGCGGCCUAUCAGCUUGUUGGUGGGGUAAUGGCCUACCAAGGCGGCGACGGGUAGCCGGCCUGAGAGGGUGGACGGCCACAUUGGGACUGGGAUACGGCCCAGACUCCUACGGGAGGCAGCAGUGGGGAAUAUUGCACAAUGGGCGGAAGCCUGAUGCAGCGACGCGGCGUGGGGGAUGACGGCCUUCGGGUUGUAAACUCCUUUCGACCGCGAGGAAGCCACCUGGUUGGAAGGGUGGUGACGGUAGUGGUAGAAGAAGCACCGGCUAACUACGUG
RNAcentral lists this ribosomal RNA (494 nucleotides) under uncultured bacterium. RNAcentral describes it as "partial 16S ribosomal RNA". It matches the Rfam family "Bacterial small subunit ribosomal RNA", at positions 28 to 507 of the family's 1533-position model. The record is from RNAcentral.